RNAcentral lists this ribosomal RNA (469 nucleotides) under uncultured bacterium. Its description in RNAcentral is "partial 16S ribosomal RNA". It matches the Rfam family "Bacterial small subunit ribosomal RNA", at positions 28 to 507 of the family's 1533-position model. The record is from RNAcentral.
GAUGAACGCUGGCGGCGUGCUUAACACAUGCAAGUCGAACGGUGAACCCGGAGCUUGCUCUGUGGGAUCAGUGGCGCACGGGUGCGUAACACGUGAGCAACCUGCCCCUGACUCUGGGAUAAGCCCUGGAAACGGCGUCUAAUACUGGGUAUGUGACGUUACCCCAUAGUCUUCGUUUGUAAAGAUUUUUCGGUUGGGGAUGGGCGCGCGGCCAAUCAGCUUGUUGGUGAGGUAAUGGCUCACCAAGUUGUCGACGGGUAGCCGGCCUGCGAGGGUGACCGGCCACAAUGGUAUUGAGAGACGGACCAGACGCGUACGGGAGGCAGCAGGGGGGAAUAUUGCACAAUGAGGGAAAGCGUGAUGCAGCAGCCCCGCGUGAGGGAUGACGGCCUUCGGGUUGUAAACCUUUGUGAGCGGAGAUGAAGCGAAAGUGACGGUACCUGCAGAGAAAGCGCCGGCUAACUACGUG